UACCCGCAGCACAAGUGGUGGUCAUUAUUAUUGGGCCUAAAGCGUCCGUAGCUGGCUUGUUAGAUGCCUGGGUAAAUCGAUGCGCUCAACGUAUCGAACUCCGGGUAGACCGGCAAGCUCGGGACCGGGAGAGGCGUGAGCUACUCGGGGGGUAGGGGUAAAAUCCUGUAAUCCUCCGGGGAGGACCAGUGGCGAAGGCGUCACGCUAGAACGGCUCCGACAGUGAGGGACGAAGCCCUGGGGCGCAAACCGG
Molecule: ribosomal RNA, 253 nt
Filed under: uncultured bacterium
Lineage: Bacteria
Description: partial 16S ribosomal RNA
Rfam family: Archaeal small subunit ribosomal RNA
Source: RNAcentral